UAUUUACCUCGUUCCGCCCCAAGAAAGUCCCACAAUUCAUACUACUUCCUGUUUCAAACUCUACGUGAAGUUUAAUUUCACAAAUAUAUUUUUGUUAGUUUUUGGCAGUUUAUUAGAGCAUUUUGUGAUCCCAAACUCUCACCGAGCAUGGCAUCGAAGGCUAAGGCGUCGCAGCCCGCUGUGAUACACAAGGUGAUCAUGGUCGGUAGUGGUGGUGUCGGCAAGUCGGCGCUCACCCUGCAGUUUAUGUACGAGGAGUUUGUUGAGGACUACGAGCCGACCAAGGCGGACUCCUACAGGAAGAAGGUGGUCCUGGAUGGGGAGGAGGUCCAGAUUGACAUCCUGGACACGGCGGGGCAGGAGGAUUACGCCGCCAUACGGGACAACUACUUCCGCAGCGGCGAGGGCUUCCUCUGCGUGUUCUCCAUCACGGAGCAGGAGUCGUUCCAGGCUACAGCUGAAUUCAGAGAACAGAUUUUGCGCGUGAAGAACGAUGACAACAUUCCGUUUCUAUUAGUGGGCAACAAGGCAGAUCUGGAGGACAGACGGCAGGUGACGUUGGACGAGGCGAAUCAACGAGCUCACGGCUGGAAUGUACCCUACGUAGAAACAUCGGCAAAAACUAGGGCAAAUGUAGAUAAGGUAUUUUACGAUCUAAUGCGCGAGAUCCGCUCGCGUAAAAUGAAGGCCAGUCAACAGAGCAACGGACAGAAAGGAAAAAAGACGAAGAAACGAAAAUGUACAAUUUUGUAAAGUUUAGGCAUCAAUGGUUUGGACAAUUGAAUGAAUAGUUUGAAUUUGUAACGUAUUUUAUAUUCAAAACUAUACAGAAAAGAAAAUUCAAUAGGACCACAACAUCCAAACAUCGUAGAAGGUGUUCAGGUUUUUCUUCAUUGAUAUUGACGAUUUUUAAUUUUUAUUUUCUAACCUCAACAUUAAACUGUGCUAUGAGAGGAUAUUUAUUUCAGGUUCAGUGUUAAACUGUUGUAUAAGUUUAACAUUGCUACAUUAAGAUAUAGCAAUUCAACGCUUUCCCACUCAGAAGCAAAGUGAAAAUGGCUAUGUGCAUACAGCAUAAGACCAGAACAGCCUGUGAGAAACUCACAGCCUGUUCAGGUUUUAUGCUGUUUGCUGCUCAUCAGUAUCUUAGGAGUGGAAAUGAAGCCUUUAAAACUUGAAUUUUGUAAGAAAGGUAUUUAAUUUAAUUUUACUUACUAAGGGACUACAAAUAUUUAUGCCCCCCUUCGAAGAAGAGGGGGUAUAUUGCUUUGCUCAUGUCGGUCGGUCGGUCGGUCGGUAGGUCGGUCGGUCGGUCCGUCCACCAGGUGGUUGUCGUAUGAUAACUCAAGAACGCUUGGGGCUAGGAUCAUGAAACUUCAUAGGUACAUUGAUCAUGACUCGCAGAUGACCCCUAUUGAUUUUGAGGUCACUAGGUCAAAGGUCAAGGUCACGGUGACCCGAAAUAGUAAAAUGGUUUCCGGAUGAUAACUCAAGAACGCAUACGCUUAGGAUCAUGAAACUUCAUGGGUAGAUUGAUCAUGACUCGCAGAUGACCCCUAUUGAUUUUGAGGUCACUAGGUCAAAGGUCAAGGUGACCCGAAAUUGUAAAAUGGUUUCCGGAUGAUAACUCAAUAACGCAUACGCCUAGGAUCAUGAAACUUCAUGGGUAGAUUGAUCAUGACUCGCAGAUGACCCCUAUCAAUUUUUUUGGUCACUAGGUCAAAGGUCAAGGUGACCCGAAAUAGUAAAAUGGUUUCCGGAUGAUAACUCAAGAAGGCAUACGCCUACUAGGAUCAUGAAACUUCAUGGGUAGAUUGAUCAUGACUUGCAGAUGACCCCUAUUGUUUUUGAGGUCACUAGGUCAAAGGUCAAGGUCACGGUGACCUGAAAUAGUAAAAUGGUUUUCGGAUGAUAACUCAAGAACGCAUACGCCUAGGAUCAUGAAACUUCAUAGGUAGAUUGAUCAUGACUAGCAGAUGACCCCUAUUGAUUUUGAGGUCACAAGGUCAAAGGUCAAGGUCACAGUGACCCGAAAAAGUAAAAUGAUUUUCGGAUGAUAACUCAAGAACGCUUUUGCCUAGGAUCAUGACACUUCAUAGGUACAUUGAUCGUGACUCGCAGAUGACCCCUAUUGAUUUUCAGGUCACUAGGUCAAAGGUCAAGGUCACAGUGACAAAAAUCGUACUCACACAAUGGCUGCCACUACAAUAGACAGCCCAUAUGGGGGGCAUGCAUGUUUUACAAACAGCCCUUGUUUAAAAUACAUUUUCCAAGUGGUAAAGGGUUAACUAUUACCGGUAAUCAUGUUGGCUGCUGCAGUAACAAUAUUGGUAGUUUCAUGCACGUUGAUAAUUUACAUUGGUGAGCAAAAUGUCAAUGCCUUUAUGAAAUGUUUAAUUGGGCCAUGCUCUGUGAAACGGGGGUUAACCCUUUGCAUGCUGGGAAAUUUGUCGUUUGCUAAAAUGUCGUCUGCUGAAUUUCUGAAAUUAGCAUUUUCUUCGAUUUUUUUCAAAGAAUACUAUCAGAAUAGCAAACAGUUUGGAUCCUGAUGAGACGCCACGUUCUGUGGCGUCUCAUCUGGAUCCAAACUGUUUGCAAAGGCCUUUAAAAUUCGGUUCCCGCACUGAAAGGGUUAAAUGCAGUCUGCACAGGCUAAUCAGAGACAUCAGUUUCCGCCUAAACUGGAUUUUUGCUAAGAAGAUACUUUCUUUAAACAGAAAAUAUCAUAAUAGUGGAAAGUGUCGCUGCUGAUUAGCCUGUGCAGGCAUUAAACCCCCUUUUCACAGAGCACGGUUUUUGUGUGUGCGUAAAUCUUUGGAUUAAAUGUUAUCCAGAAAAUAUAAGGCCAUGAGCGUUUAAAAAUUAGCAGGAACAUAAUCUGUUUACUUCAUCAGUGGCUUGUCCCAUGUUUCAAUAAUCUUAUAUUCCAACUCAUAGAAAAUGUUUUCUCGAAUUUACUUUUUUGUUGGGAAAAGACAAAUCUCAUGGCCUAAUUGCAAUAUAGCUGGAGUACGUGUAUAUGCAAAUAAAAAUGUUGGUUAUUUGGCAAAUUACACAAUCUUCACAAGUGUUUUUAAAUCUUUUAAGAUUUAUUAUAUGGUUUGGAUUGCUUCUUGCAAUGCCAUAAAUGUAUGUCUGAAUCCAAAGAAGAAUAAAAUGAGUGUCCUUUAAAAUUUGCAUUAUAAUUAUGAUUAUUGUGGAUAUAGUUUAUAUAGUUUGUAUGCAUAUCUGACUAAGUUAUUUGUAUAUUUUGCUGAAACUGGUUAUGUUUCUUUUUAAAUAUUUAUUUGAAAUUCAGAUUCUGUUGCAAGAAAAAUUAUAAGAAAAAAUAAAUUUGAGAAGUAUUGAGAUUUUCCAGUGUAUUAUUUUAUUUUUUUUACGUUAAAGUCUCACAAAGGCCCAUUCAUUUUAAUAAAAAAUUGUUCUGUCUUUGCAAAGUGAACAAUUACAUACUGAAUUGUUGAUUCAAAUAUAUGAAAGACAACUUUUUUAUCUUUGAAAAUAUCCCAGCCUUUGAUAUUGUAUAGCCAGCCAUCUGUCUUAGUUUUUGCUGGCAUAAAAUAUGAAUCUGGUACUAGUUUGUAAUGAAUUGUUGAUCUUUUAACCAUUUGUAUACUUCUUGUGUUCUGGUAUCCAUACAUCCAUUCUGUUUAUAAACCAAUUAGGUACCUUAGAGACCCUUUAUAUAGCGCUUGCUUUCAAAACAGUAUUUAUGGUAUGUUUGUACGUCUUUGGUGUUAUUUCAGUUCAUUAUGACUACUAUAUUAACCAGGUUUUCCGAAGGAAAAAACUGGUUAUUAGAUUGGCGAAUGCGGGCGGGCUGGCUGGCUGGCUGGCGGGCUGGCGGGCGGGCGGAACAAGCUUGUCCGGGCCAUAACUUUGUCGUUCAUUGUGAGAUUUUAAAAUCAUUUGGCACAUUUGUUAACCAUCAUUAGGCGGUGUGUCGCGCGAAAAAAUUACGUCAAUAUCUCCAAGGUCACACUUUGAGUUCAAAGGUAAAAAAUAGCCAUAAAUGAGCUUGUCUGGGCUAUAACUAUGUCAUUCAUUAUGAUAUUUUAAAAUCAUUUGGCACAUUUGUUCACCAUCAUGGGACGGUGUGUCGCACGAAAGAAUCACGUCAAUAUCUCCAAUGUCAAGGUCGCCACGACUAAAAAUAGAUUUAUUUUAAAACAAACUUACAAAGGGGGGUAAUUUUGUUUGUUCAUUUCAAAAGUUCAUUUUGAGUUGUCUCCCUUCAUCAGAUUUUUUUUCACAAUGAAAACCUGGUUUUGUUACAAUUUUGUCCCUUGUUUUUAUUUUUAGAAUAUGUGUUAAGAAAAGACAAAUAUAAUUUUGUCAAAGUGUCACCAUGUACCAUGCAAGGAAUGAUUGUUUCUGUGUGCAAUUAACUGCAUAAUUUGAAUUUACCAAAAAUCUGGUAGAAAUCAGUGUACCGGUAUUGACAUUUUGUAGAUUGAUCUGCAUUACAUUAGUGCUGUUCAUGCUGUAUUGCAAGUUACCUUAGUGUCAUUUUAGCUCAUGCUCAGUAAUACCAUCUGUCCUUAUUUUUGCCUUUUCCUUGCCUGAUUAUUGUCAAGGAGACUGUGCUUUUGAAAUGCGUGUUUGUUUUGUAUUUCAGCUGAACAACUGAGGUUUUCAACUUUUGCACACAUUAUGUGGAUUGUUUUAUCAUCAAUAUAAAUUGCUUUGGACCUAAAUUUGAUUUUUACAUUAUACAUGCAUAGUCAGGUAUAUUUCUGUAUUAUAUAAACUGGAAAAUAAGUUCCUUUCAGAAUGUUUUUAGAAUAUAAUGUAGAAAGUAUGAAUGUAUACUACUAAUUAUACAUCUUGUUAUAACCCAAAAAAAGUAUGUUAUGCAUUAUUGUACACACUUUUUAAUCAUGUAUAUUUUGUUUUUAUUUAUUUUUUAAUACACAUAUUUUCGGGUACUUAAUAUCCAGUUAAGGCAUAUUUUCUGUAAGCAAUCAAAUAAGGUUUCAAUCAAACAAGGUUUUAUUUGUAGAUUGUUUCAUAUUAAUGCUUAAGCUGGAUUAUGGUGUGUAAACAAAUAAAAUUGUAAUAAAACAUUUUCUAACUUCUGAAAAUAAUGUUAUUUGAACACACUGGCAAUUGUUAUUCACUAGUUUAUUAAGAAAGAAAGGUCCUUAAUAAACUUGUGGAUAAUAUCAUAUGUACUAUACUAUAUUAUAUGUUCUUUAUUUUAAACAUAUACAUGAGAUAUGAUAAGAAAAACUUUUUAAUAAACCUUAUAGUAUUAUUCCUCACCUAGAAAGGAAUAAAUAAUAGGACUGGAUUUUUUCAACUUUUAUGUCUAUUUUGAUUGAGCAUUUUCAGUAGUUCUAAACACUAAAACUUGGCAUUACUUUCCUUGUUACAUAUUUCACAAAGGGGAGUUACUUGUGAUUUGUUUGUGUUUAAGCCAUUUAGAGUGUUUCACCUUUAGCAAUGUGCAAAAUGUCAAACAAAACACACACAAAUGAGUUAAAAGGAAUCUGCCGCAAUAAAUUUAUCAUACACAAUAUUUUGCAAAAAAUUAUAAAGAUGGCAAAAAGACCCACAUUUAUUUGAGAUUGUAUCUGAACCUCAUCCUAGCUGCCUGGCAAUGUUACUCUGUUUUAUAUUUUUGCAAAGAAGAAACCAUUUAACCCUUUCCCACGCAGAAGCAAGGUGAAAAUGGCUACAUGUAUGUGCAAACAGCAUAAAACUAGAACAGCCUGUGACUGAGUUGCAGUCUGUUCAGGUUUUAUGUUGUUUCAGUUUGCUUCUCAUCAGUAUCUAAGGGUUGGAAAUGAAGACUUUAACAUUUGAAUCUAGUAAGAAAGUUCUUAAAUUAAAUGUAACUUUCUAAGGGACUACAAAUGCUUGAACAAAUGUAUCUAAGUGGUAAAGGAUUAAGACCAGUUGCAAACUUUGCUGUGUAUAUGUUUGUCCACUGAUUGAUUUAUUUAACACUGUAUAACAAGUAAUUCUUUACUUGUGUGAAGUUUCUUUUUUUUAAGAAAGAAAACUUGAAAAUGUUCUUUAGAUUUCCCCCAGAGACACCAAGGACUGCUUCUACCCAGGAAUCAGACUCAAGAGCUUUUUUGAAAUAUAUAAUCUUUAACAUAUAAUCAAGUAGUUGUCAUUAAAAGUGAGAAAAGAAAACAUUCUUUUUAGCAAUAUAAUGUGUUAUAUGUUUUUAUGAAAGUCAUUUUCCUCACUUACAGUUAUUGACAUUGACUUACAAGAUGCUUUUGUUAUAUCUUGAUCAUAUUGUUGUAUCUUGAUGUGUAUAUCUGAGACUUGUUCUGGGGAAACUGGACUGAAUUCAUGUGCUUAAAGUGUUGUCCAAGAUAAGCCUGUGCAAUCCACACAGGCUCAUCAUGUACCACACUUUCUCUCUUGAAUGGAUUUUCAUUUAGAAGGGACUCCCUUAAAACUAAAAAUUCCAUUAAAAAAGGUAGUAUCGUCCCUGAUGAACCUUUGGGAAUUGCAAAGGCUAAUCAGGGACGACACUAAGCUAAUCAGGGACGACACUAGGCUAAUCAGGGACGACACUAGGCUAAUCAGGGACGACACUGUAGGCACAUUGAAGGAACCCAGUUUUCCUUGAACGCUAUUCAUUUUAUGAUAUUGAAUGUCUCUUGGUGUGCUUGGUUGCUUGGUAUGGUAUAUACCACUAUCUUAUAGAUCUGAUUUCUUCCGUUGUGUUCAGAUUUGGUUACUAUUGUAGGCGUCUGACCACAGGAUCUGAUGUUUAGUAAGAUAGGUCAGAUUGUUUUCAAAGGAUCCAAUUUUCACAUCAUGGUCAGAUCUGUUGUCUAAGGAUCUGAUUUUCACAUCUUUUUCAGAUUUGUAGCUAAAUGGCUUGAAUUUCCCAGUAUUAAGAGAUCUUUAGCCUUAGGACUGGAUUUUCAGAUCAAGAUAAAAGGAUCUGUUGUUUUUUUCUAGCCUUCAUCUAGAUUCAAGGUUAUUGUAUUUUGCUUCGCAUUGGUCAUCCGUUUAUCAACUGUUUUUACCGUCUGUCGGAUUUGCCAUGUUUGACCUGCUGUUUGGAUGUUGUUUUCAUGUGGUCUGUAAAAAUUGCAAUUGACAUCAUUAUAAUUUUAUGUGUAGAUAAACGCCUUUGUAGUGUACAUUAUUUUUUAUCAGCAGUUUAUCGAUGUAUCUAUGUAUAUGUGAAUACUUGAAUGUUGUAUUUUAGCUCAUUUAUUUCUUGUAGUUGUUAUCAUGUUCAUAUUAAUAUGCACUUUCAAAAUAAAUUACAUAUUGUAAA
RNA transcript from Dreissena polymorpha, 7255 nucleotides. It is a transcript of the gene named ras-related protein Ral-A-like, with no coding region annotated. The transcript is spliced from 6 exons. NCBI's taxonomy places the organism in Eukaryota, Metazoa, Mollusca, Bivalvia, Myida, Dreissenidae. The record is from RefSeq and is a predicted model, not a curated record.